CGCGAAGAACCUUACCAGGUCUUGACAUCCCGAUGCUAUUUCUAGAGAUAGAAAGUUACUUCGGUACAUCGGUGACAGGUGGUGCAUGGUUGUCGUCAGCUCGUGUCGUGAGAUGUUGGGUUAAGUCCCGCAACGAGCGCAACCCUUGUCUUUAAUUGCCAUCAUUGAGUUGGGCACUUUAAAGAGACUGCCGGUGUUAAACCGGAGGAAGGUGGGGAUGACGUCAAGUCCUCAUGGCCCUUAUGACCUGGGCUACACACGUGCUACAAUGGGCGGUACAAAGGGUCGCGAACCCGCGAGGGGGAGCCAAUCCCAAAAAGCCGCUCUCAGUUCGGAUUGCAGGCUGCAACUCGCCUGCAUGAAGCCGGAAUCGCUAGUAAUCGCGGAUCAGCAUGCCGCGGUGAAUACGUUCCCGGGCCUU
This 421-nucleotide ribosomal RNA is filed under the name uncultured Caldalkalibacillus sp. Its description in RNAcentral is "bacterial SSU rRNA". It matches the Rfam family "Bacterial small subunit ribosomal RNA", at positions 960 to 1382 of the family's 1533-position model. Lineage: Bacteria; Bacillati; Bacillota; Bacilli; Caryophanales; Bacillaceae. The record is from RNAcentral.